This 254-nucleotide ribosomal RNA is filed under the name uncultured bacterium. RNAcentral describes it as "partial 16S ribosomal RNA". It matches the Rfam family "Bacterial small subunit ribosomal RNA", at positions 524 to 776 of the family's 1533-position model. The record is from RNAcentral.
UACGAAGGGGGCUAGCGUUGCUCGGAAUGACUGGGCGUAAAGGGCGCGUAGGCGGUUUGUACAGUCAGAUGUGAAAUUCCCGGGCUCAACCUGGGGGCUGCAUUUUGAUACGUGCGGACUUGAGUGGGGAAGAGGGUCGUGGAAUUCCCAGUGUAGAGGUGAAAUUCGUAGAUAUUGGGAAGAACACCGGUGGCGAAGGCGGCGACCUGGUCCUUGACUGACGCUGAGGCGCGAAAGCGUGGGGAGCAAACAGG